AGAAAUGGUUUAAAACCGAAUCAAUCCACUUAUAAAUCGAUUUUAAAAAAAUAAAUUGAUUUUAUGAAAAUAGUUUUAAGAUCCAAACUGAAACAUAUAUGAUCCAAUUUAAUUUGAUUUAUGAUCACGGCUACUUAUUACAUAUCAUUACUAUCACCGCUACUUAUUACAUAUCAUUACUAUCACUUAGCCUUAUCAUUACUAUCACCCCUACUUAUUACAUAUCAUUACUAUCACUUAGCCUUAGAGUACAAAGUCCAUAACUUAAAGAUUCGUGAAAUUAAGAUAAGAAAAAUAAAUAAAUAAUUCAAUUAUUAGACACCACCAAAAACAUUAAAUGACAACUUAGUGUAUAUUCUAAAAUAAAAGACAUUAUAUAGAUUUUUUUGCUACUGCAAAAACUAAUUUUUCCUUUCAAUGCAUGUGUACUCAUAGUUCCCAAGGCAAUACACGAGAACCAACACAUGUACAUGAUAUACCCAUACACUUCACAACACUAGGAGGCAAGCACAUGUUUUGUGGACAAUCGGAAUCUGUCUUGCAUCUAAUUGCUGCUGUAAUAAAUAAAUAAAAAGAAUGCAAUAAUGUUAAAAAAUAAGACAAAAUAUUGUGCAUGAAUUAAUGAAUUCUGAAGUAGAUAAGGAAAUUUAAAAGAAUAAAAAAUGGAUACCAUUAACAUUCAUUGCAGCAAGAUAUAGUGAAAAAAAUAGAAUUAUAAGAUAAACAAAAUUGAAAAUUGCAGCCAUGUUAUUUCUUAUUUGUGUGUAUUAGAAAAUGGAAUUUGAUCACUAUUUUAUAAUGUAUACAACUUAUGCUCUAACAAAAUAGUUAAGAUUGCUUUUGCUUGCACAUAUGGAGUUAUAAAAAAACCUUUUCUAACAUUGAGUUGUAAUUACGUAUUUUUUAAAUAAAUCAUUGUGUUAUGUUUG
RNAcentral lists this long non-coding RNA (929 nucleotides) under Lathyrus oleraceus (garden pea). Its description in RNAcentral is "Pisum sativum (pea) long non-coding RNA (PSAT_LNC005318)". Lineage: Eukaryota; Viridiplantae; Streptophyta; Magnoliopsida; Fabales; Fabaceae. The record is from RNAcentral.